CAGCCGCCGCGGUAAAACGAAGGGGGCUAGCGUUGUUCGGAAUUACUGGGCGUAAAGCGCACGUAGGCGGAUCGAUCAGUCAGGGGUGAAAUCCCAGGGCUCAACCCUGGAACUGCCUUUGAUACUGUCGAUCUGGAGUAUGGAAGAGGUGAGUGGAAUUCCGAGUGUAGAGGUGAAAUUCGUAGAUAUUCGGAGGAACACCAGUGGCGAAGGCGGCUCACUGGUCCAUUACUGACGCUGAGGUGCGAAAGCGUGGGGAGCAAACAGGAUUAGAUACCCCGGAGUCCCUGUCUCUUAUACA
Molecule: ribosomal RNA, 301 nt
Filed under: uncultured bacterium
Lineage: Bacteria
Description: partial 16S ribosomal RNA
Rfam family: Bacterial small subunit ribosomal RNA
Source: RNAcentral